Molecule: ribosomal RNA, 240 nt
Filed under: Triticum aestivum (bread wheat)
Lineage: Eukaryota; Viridiplantae; Streptophyta; Magnoliopsida; Poales; Poaceae
Description: partial small subunit ribosomal RNA
Source: RNAcentral
AUGUUGGGAUGGAUUCAACAUACCCAACUCAUCUCGGACCAGCAUGCCUCCAUUGGCUGGAAACUAACCACUUCUGGAAUGUACUCCUCGACCUUGGCUUACGCGACAGAAUUCCAUGGCUCCCACUCAAACUUCGACUCUUCCAAGAUCUGGUCCGCCCAUGUUGACCGAAAGUGCAAAAUUUUCUCCUUGUUGGUGCUGCACGAAAGGAUUCUCACUACUGACAUGCUCGCCGUGUAG